GGCAACCCUGACGGAGCAACGCCGCGUGGGGGAGGAAGGUCUGUGGAUUGUAAACCCCUUUUCUCUGUGAAGAAGAUCUGACGGUAGCAGAGGAAUCAGCAUCGGCUAACUCCGUGCCAGCAGCCGCGGUAAGACGGAGGAUGCAAGCGUUAUCCGGAAUUAUUGGGCGUAAAGCGUCCGUAGGCGGUUGAGCAAGUCUGCUGUUAAAUCGCGGAGCUUAACUCCGAACAUGCAGUGGAAACUGUUCAACUAGAGUGCGGUAGGGGUUGAGGGAAUUCCCAGUGUAGCGGUGAAAUGCGUAGAUAUUGGGAAGAACACCAGUGGCGAAGGCGCUCUGCUGGGCCAUAACUGACGCUGAGGGACGAAAGCUAGGGGAGCG
RNAcentral lists this ribosomal RNA (379 nucleotides) under uncultured cyanobacterium. RNAcentral describes it as "bacterial SSU rRNA". It matches the Rfam family "Bacterial small subunit ribosomal RNA", at positions 376 to 770 of the family's 1533-position model. Lineage: Bacteria; Bacillati; Cyanobacteriota. The record is from RNAcentral.